ACAAGCAGCAGGCUCUCUGCAACUCUCACAUGGUCACCUACUGAAGCUAAGCAGGGCUGCGCCUGGUCAGUACCUGGAUGGGAGACCACAUGGGAAAGCAAGGUUGCUGCCAGAA
Molecule: non-coding RNA, 115 nt
Organism: Danio rerio (zebrafish)
Lineage: Eukaryota; Metazoa; Chordata; Actinopteri; Cypriniformes; Danionidae
Source: Rfam